Molecule: ribosomal RNA, 992 nt
Filed under: uncultured bacterium
Lineage: Bacteria
Description: bacterial SSU rRNA
Rfam family: Bacterial small subunit ribosomal RNA
Source: RNAcentral
AGAGUUUGAUCAUGGCUCAGAAUCAACGCUGGCGGCGCGCCUAACACAUGCAAGUCGUACGAGAAAGCGGGGGCAACCUCGUGAGUAAAGUGGCGUACGGGUGAGUAACACGUGGAUUAUCUACCCUCUAGUGGGGGAUAACCCUGGGAAACCGGGGCUAAUACCGCAUAAGCUCGAGAGAGCAAAGCAGCAAUGCGCUGGAGGAGGAGUCCGCGGCCGAUUAGCUGGUUGGUAGGGUAAAGGCCUACCAAGGCUACGAUCGGUAGCCGGCCUGAGAGGGCACACGGCCACACUGGCACUGAAACACGGGCCAGACUCCUACGGGAGGCAGCAGUGGGGAAUCUUGCACAAUGGGGGAAACCCUGAUGCAGCGACGCCGCGUGAGCGAUGAAGCCCUUCGGGGUGUAAAGCUCUUUCGGCAGGGAAGAUGAUGACGGUACCUGCAGAAGCAGCUGCGGCUAACUACGUGCCAGCAGCCGCGGUAAUACGUAGGCAGCAAGCGUUGUUCGGAGUUACUGGGCGUAAAGGGUGUGUAGGCGGUUCUCUAAGUCUGGUGUGAAAUCUCCCGGCUCAACUGGGAGGGUGCGCCGAAAACUGGAGGGCUAGAGUGCGGGAUGGGAGAGUGGAAUUCCUGGUGUAGCGGUGAAAUGCGUAGAUAUCAGGAGGAACACCUGUGGUGUAGACGGCUCUCUGGACCGCAACUGACGCUGAGACACGAAAGCGUGGGUAGCAAACAGGAUUAGAUACCCUGGUAGUCCACGCCCUAAACGAUGCAUAUUUGGUGUGGGCCAUUCAUUUGGUCUGUGCCGGAGCUAACGCGUUAAAUAUGCCGCCUGGGGAGUACGGUCGCAAGGCUGAAACUCAAAGGAAUUGACGGGGGCCCGCACAAGCGGUGGAGCAUGUGGGUUCAAUUCGACGCAACGCGAAGAACCUUACCUGGGCUCGAACGGCUCACGAAAGUCUUUGGGAAACAAGGAUUUCCCGCAAGGGAC